UAGGGAAUCUUCGGCAAUGGACGAAAGUCUGACCGAGCAACGCCGCGUGAGUGAAGAAGGUUUUCGGAUCGUAAAACUCUGUUGUUAGAGAAGAACAAGGACGUUAGUAACUGAACGUCCCCUGACGGUAUCUAACCAGAAAGCCACGGCUAACUACGUGCCAGCAGCCGCGGUAAUACGUAGGUGGCAAGCGUUGUCCGGAUUUAUUGGGCGUAAAGCGAGCGCAGGCGGUUUCUUAAGUCUGAUGUGAAAGCCCCCGGCUCAACCGGGGAGUGUCAUUGGAAACUGGGAGACUUGAGUGCAGAAGAGGAUAGUGGAAUUCCGUGUGUAGCGGUGGAAUGCGUAGAUAUAUGGAGGAACACCAGUGGCGAAGACGGAUCUCUGGUCUGUAACUGACACUGAGGCUCGAAAGCGUGGGGAGCAAACAGG
RNAcentral lists this ribosomal RNA (429 nucleotides) under Gemmatimonadota bacterium. RNAcentral describes it as "Gemmatimonadetes bacterium partial 16S ribosomal RNA". It matches the Rfam family "Bacterial small subunit ribosomal RNA", at positions 355 to 776 of the family's 1533-position model. Lineage: Bacteria; Pseudomonadati; Gemmatimonadota. The record is from RNAcentral.